ACAAAACGACAGGGGAGCGCAGUAGCGCUGAGAGUGCGAUUCUCGCAGACCCUCGAACCUGAUCCGGGUUAUGCCGGCGAAGGGAGUCGAGAUCUCUCCCUC
The sequence is a regulatory RNA element, 102 nucleotides long. It matches the Rfam family "TPP riboswitch aptamer (THI element)". Rfam says of the family: Vitamin B(1) in its active form thiamin pyrophosphate (TPP) is an essential coenzyme that is synthesised by coupling of pyrimidine and thiazole moieties in bacteria. The previously detected thiamin-regulatory element, thi box was extended, resulting in a new, highly conserved RNA secondary structure, the THI element, which is widely distributed in eubacteria and also occurs in some archaea. The record is from Rfam.